GAGAGGCCCAAACGUUAUUCGGAAUUACUGGGCUUAAAGAGUUCGUAGGCGGCUUGGAAAGUGGGGUGUGAAAGCCCUCGGCCUAACCGAGGAAUUGCGCUCCAAACUACCGAGCUUGAGGAAGCUAGAGGUGAGCAGAACUGAUGGUGGAGCGGUGAAAUGCGUUGAUAUCAUCAGGAAUACCGGAGGCGAAGGCGGCUCACUGGGACUUUUCUGACGCUGAGGAACGAAAGCUAGGGGAGCAAACGGGAUUAGAUACCCCGGUAGUCCUAGCCGUAAACGGUGAGCACUGGACCGGGGGCCUGCACAGGCCCUCGGUCGUAGCGAAAGUGUUAAGUGCUCCGCCUGGGGAGUAUGGUCGCAAGGCUGAA
Molecule: ribosomal RNA, 371 nt
Filed under: uncultured bacterium
Lineage: Bacteria
Description: bacterial SSU rRNA
Rfam family: Bacterial small subunit ribosomal RNA
Source: RNAcentral